GACGAACGCUGGCGGCGUGCCUAAUACAUGCAAGUCGAGCGGGGAUUAUGCUUGAUCGCUUCGGUGAGACGGCAUAUAUCCUAGCGGCGGACGGGUGAGUAACGCGUGGGUAAUCUACCUCGUAGUUCGGGAUAACAGGCCGAAAGGCUUGCUAAUACCGGAUGAGUUCAUGCUUAUGCAUAUAGGCAUGAAGAAAGGGCUAGCCCGCUAUGAGAUGAGCCCGCGUCCCAUUAGCUUGUUGGUGGGGUAACGGCCUACCAAGGCAACGAUGGGUAGCCGGCCUGAGAGGGUGUACGGCCACACUGGGACUGAGACACGGCCCAGACUCCUACGGGGGGCAGCAGUAGGGAAUUUUCGGCAAUGGGCGAAAGCCUGACCGAGCGACGCCGCGUGAGGGACGAAGGCCUUCGGGUUGUAAACCUCUGUCUGGGGGGAUGAGAACGGACGGUACCCCCGGAGGAAGCCCCGGCUAACUACGUGCCAGCAGCCGCGGUAAUACGUAGGGGGCUAGCGUUGUCCGGAAUUACUGGGCGUAAAGGGCGCGUANGCGGUCGUGCCAGUC
This 562-nucleotide ribosomal RNA is filed under the name uncultured bacterium. Its description in RNAcentral is "bacterial SSU rRNA". It matches the Rfam family "Bacterial small subunit ribosomal RNA", at positions 28 to 589 of the family's 1533-position model. The record is from RNAcentral.